Molecule: ribosomal RNA, 468 nt
Filed under: uncultured bacterium
Lineage: Bacteria
Description: partial 16S ribosomal RNA
Rfam family: Bacterial small subunit ribosomal RNA
Source: RNAcentral
GAUGAACGCUGGCGGCGUGCUUAACACAUGCAAGUCGAACGGAAAGGCCCUGCUCUUGUGGGGUGCUCGAGUGGCGAACGGGUGAGUAUCACGUGAGGAACCUGCCCUUGACUUUGUGAUAUCUUCACGAAACUGGGGCUAAUAUCGCAUAUGAUCUCCUGCUGCAUGGUGGGGGUUGGAAAGUUUCGGCGUUUGUGGAUGGUCUCGCGGCUUAUCAGCUUGUUGGUGGGGUAGUGGCUUCCCAAGGUUUUGACGGGUAGCCUGCCUGGGCGGGUUACCGGCGGCAUGGGGCCGAAGGGACGACCCAGCAGCCAACGGGCGGCAAGGGGGGGAAGCCUGGCGGAGUGGGGGGAGGCGGGUGGAGGAGGCCUCGCGUGGGGAAUGGCGUCUUACGGGGGGUAAACCACUUUGUCAGGAAACAAGGAGGGAGUGACGGUAUUUAAUAAAAAAGCACCGGCUAACUACGUG